CUCCUCUGCUAGAGCUAGUGCCGCUCUGCACCUGAAGAAGGAGUAUGGAUUUGAACAUGGUACCUCAAGAGGAAGAGGAUGAAGGUAUAGAUUUGAACAUGAUGCCUCAAGAGGAAGAGGAAGAAGCUCAACAUGGAGAGGAUGGAGGUAUAGAUUUGAACAUGAUGCCUCAAGAGGAAGAUGAAGAAGCUAUGAAUUGGAUGCCUCAAGAAGAUGAAGAGGAAGAGGA
Molecule: long non-coding RNA, 229 nt
Organism: Hordeum vulgare subsp. vulgare (domesticated barley)
Lineage: Eukaryota; Viridiplantae; Streptophyta; Magnoliopsida; Poales; Poaceae
Exons: 2
Source: RefSeq, a predicted model, not a curated record